Molecule: signal recognition particle RNA, 217 nt
Filed under: Chlorocebus sabaeus (green monkey)
Lineage: Eukaryota; Metazoa; Chordata; Mammalia; Primates; Cercopithecidae
Description: Metazoan signal recognition particle RNA
Rfam family: Metazoan signal recognition particle RNA
About the family: The signal recognition particle (SRP) is a universally conserved ribonucleoprotein. It is involved in the co-translational targeting of proteins to membranes.
Source: Rfam by way of RNAcentral
GCCGGGCGUGGUGGCUCAAGCCUGUAAUCCCAGCACUUAGGGAGGCCGAGACGGGCGGAUCACGAGGUCAGGAGAUCGAGACCAUCCUGGCUAACACGGUGAAACCCCAUCUCUACUAAAAAUACAAAAACUUUUUGUAUUUUUAGUAGAGAUGGGGUUUCACCGUGUUAGCCAGGAUGGUCUCGAUCUCCUGACCUCGUGAUCCACCCAUCUCGGC